This is a long non-coding RNA of Ictalurus punctatus (channel catfish), 2855 nucleotides long. The record is from Ensembl. NCBI's taxonomy places the organism in Eukaryota, Metazoa, Chordata, Actinopteri, Siluriformes, Ictaluridae.
GCACAGUUAAUAUUAUUUUUAAUAAAAUGCAUCAUCAAACCAGGAAGUGUGAUCAAUCAGAGACCCCCAAAAUGAGGACUCACUAGACUGUGUGAUGAUUGAUCUUUGAUUUCUAAGAUUUCGAUUCGAGUCUUUACAGACUUCUUAAAAAGAGAAGUUCAAGCAAUUCAGGAUGAAUAAAAUACGUUGAGAGUGUGAAAUAAAGUCAACGUUAUAAUAAGUAUUCCUAAGCAGCAGGAGCCCCGUAUCUACAGGGGAUCGGUUCCACUAUAUACCGUACAUACCUAUGAUGACGUUUCGUUUAUAAAUUAGGCACGAUAAGACAUGAACAACAAUAAAAUAGAACAACUAUAAUAAUUCAAGUUAUGAGAAUGUCGUCGCUCUGCCUCAAAAAGAAAUAUCUGUCGUACUGUACGCAGACCUUCUACGCUAGGGAUGGGCGAUAUGGACUUAAAACUAUAUCGCGAUAUUUUCUGGUAUUUAUUGUGAUAACGAUAUCAGUGAGGGUAUAAAUAUAGUACCGUGCAUGCACCGCUGUUUUUUUGGUUAGAAGUGACAGCUGUGAUCUAGACAGCCUCAGGACCACACGUCUGGAAUUUUAUGUUAAAGUUUUCCAGAGCGCGGGCGGUCAAACGCGCUACUUAAAACAGCCGAUACGGGAGUUUUAACGUAUUUACGAAUAUAGUAACUCCAUAUAUUGUAAUUAUACACUUAUUUUACUGUACUAAGAACUGAGAUUUAACGUGCUCUUUGAGAAGGUCUGUGUUAGUGUAUAUGUGUAACACACAAAGCACACCGCGCUGAGCUUCAUGAAUGCAGCGUUACCAUGGGCAGGUGUUUGGACUUCUGCAGGAGCCUCAUCAUGACUUUGCCGUAUCCUUUCGCAGUGCCCGAAGACACAAACGUAACGUUCAUACUGCUCUCGUCCUUAUCUGAGACGGGAGAGAUUGCAACACAAGUGAUCUAUCGUGUAUAAUCUAUUUAUUUUAACGUACACAGAGGACGAACGUUUACAAUCAAGUGAUAGGACGGCGUGGCAUAGUUUGCGUUCGUGCUGGAACGGCGGGUUCUCACCGUUGCUGGUGCCUGUUUUUAGGUAGCCGUCCAGGUGAGGCAGAAUGUCCAUAUAGUGUGGCUGGAUGAUGGAGGGGGAGAUGGAGGAGGACCAGGAUUCCAGAGCAUCCAGCGCUGAGGUGGCCAGAGGGGCGUGGCUUAGACCCAGCCGCAGAGCAGCCUGCCACACACACAAACACACCAUGUUUUUGCUUUUGCUUAUUUUGUAGAAAUGCAAGAAUUAUUUUGUUCUAACCUGUAGUGCAGGGAUGUACGCUUUGAUGUCCAAAGCCACCAUGUCAGGAUGGAGAGACAGCACAAACGUCAGACAUGCAGCCAGAAGCUCGUCCUUAUACUGUUUAAUGCGCAUACACACCUGUCGGGAAAGCCGAUUUAAGCAAACAGGAGAAGGGGAAAGAAAGAAAAACUACGCGUACUUUGGAUACUCGGUAAAAAUUGUGUUUGAAUCUCAACGACUUCAUAUUCAAAUGUUUUCAGAUAUUAAUUGGCCUGUUAAUCUUCACUGCCAUAGACAGAACAGGCUUCAUCAGUACAACAUGGCUUCACUUCAUACUCAGCCUACUUAGUAUAUUAUAUAUAUAUAUAUAUAUUUAUUUAUUUAUAUAUAUUACGAUGAAGGUAAAGUUCCGACACGAUUCAUCUUGGUCAUAUCACAAGUCCCUAAGGAGACAUGGCGAUGGACAUGGAGAUUCCAGUGCUUUCUCCUUCAUUUGAAAUUUUUUUUUGCAUUCUCUCAGAAAACUUUCGCGUCCUCCCGUUGGUGAGUUUGUACUAACGGUACAUACGGAAGAACAUUUGUACGAACUCAACGACGAGAGGAUGCGAAAGAUUUGUGAGGGUGCGCAAAAAAAAAAAAAAAUAAAUAAAAGAAGAGAGAGAGAACUGAAAUAUAAUUUUUCCUCCCAUCUCAUAUUUUUUCCCCCCAUCACCAUGUGUCGUUAGGGGCGCCGUAGACGUUUGACUUCGAACAGGUAAAUAUUCUGGAAAAAAAAAUAAAAAAUAAUAAUAGUGAAAUGUGUUUCAAAUGAAGUGAGAUUUCAGGAACUAGGGUAAAUAGGAAGUAAAGAAUAAGGGGGGGGAAAAAAACAAAACACACACACACCUCCUUGCCAAACUUGGAGACAAGUGCAAAACAGGCACUUCUAGCCUGGGAGCAGUCACUGGUGCUUUUGGGGCCUUGACCCUGAAGAAAAGAAAGAAAAAAAAAAAUCAAGGAUGUACAAAGAUGAAAAGAAAUGCAUGCAGAGUUCAGAUGAGCACACCGAGUGAUCAUGCUAUGGGCUCAAUAGGCUUGAAUAAAAGAGGUAAAAGACCUAGAUCUUUACAUGCAAGAACGUUUUAGCACCUCGAGAGCAACUGCAGGACUCACCUGAAAGUAUUUGAUCUUCUUGGCAAUGACCAUAGAGAGAGAAAGCAGCUUGUAGAAGCCGCUGACCAGAGGGAAGCGUAUCGACUGAAGGAUGAGCUCAUGGCACAUAGGGUAAACCCACUGAGCAAAAUACUCAGGGUUCUUUGAUGGAAGUAAUGUGCUAGAAAUAUACAAUAAACAUCAAUUAAUCACAUCAGUUAAAAACAGGAGUGUUAGAGGAUGACCUGUAUAUUAAGCAUCCUAAAGGAAUGCAUGUACAUAUUCUCGAAACGAUCUGAAAUGAGAAAGCACCUGCAAAAGUCCACUAAAUUUACAAAGGCGGUGAAAUCUUGGGCUUGUUAGGAAUCAGGUUGCUGGUGGGAUCAGAUGAGGGCAUGAAUCCAGAGCUCACAUCACUCUGUCCCUGGAGAAA